Molecule: small RNA, 138 nt
Filed under: Perkinsus chesapeaki
Lineage: Eukaryota; Perkinsozoa; Perkinsida; Perkinsidae
Description: partial Betaproteobacteria transfer-messenger RNA
Source: RNAcentral
CAAGAGCAUUACAUGAAGCAUUUAUGGAAGUUGAUAAGGAAAUGGCUACUUCAGAGGGAGCUAAAGAGAUAAUGCAACUUCAUAAUGAAGGAUUAAAAGAAGAUCAACAAAAGAUAUUACUACGACCAUCUCAAUUAC